ACUCAAAUGAAUUGACGGGGACUUGCACAAGCGGUGGAUUAUGUGGUUUAAUUCGAUGGUACACGAAAAACCUUACCAGGGCUAGAUACUCUAUGGAAAGGCUUAGGAAACUAGGCAACUCCGCAAGGACCGUAGGGCAGGUGAUGCAUGGCCGUCGUCAGUUCGUGGUUUGAACUGUUCCCUUAAGUGGGGUAACGAACGCAACCCUUGUCGUCUGUUACAAGUGUCAGGCGAGACUGCCCAGCCCUUUGCGCACGAUCAACUCAUAUUGAGAGUCGUGAUCGCGAAUAAGGGGCUGGGAGGAAGGCGGGGAUGACGCCAGGUCAGCAUGUCCCUAGAUGCCCUGGGCUACACACAUAAUACAAUGGGGAGUACAACGGGCUGCGACAUCGCAAGAUUGAGCCAAUCCUAAAAAACUCCCCCCAGUUCGGAUUGGGGUCUGCAACUCGACCCCAUGAAGCCGGAAUCGCUAGUAAUCGCGGGUCAGCCAUACCGCGGUGAAUACGUUCUCAAGUCUUGUACACACCGCCCGU
This 533-nucleotide ribosomal RNA is filed under the name uncultured bacterium. Its description in RNAcentral is "partial 16S ribosomal RNA". It matches the Rfam family "Bacterial small subunit ribosomal RNA", at positions 899 to 1397 of the family's 1533-position model. The record is from RNAcentral.